GGAAGGGUAGCUUGCUAUCUGACCUAGCGGCGGACGGGUGAGUAAUGCUUAGGAAUCUGCCUAUUAGUGGGGGACAACAUUCCGAAAGGAAUGCUAAUACCGCAUACGCCCUACGGGGGAAAGCAGGGGAUCUUCGGACCUUGCGCUAAUAGAUGAGCCUAAGUCAGAUUAGCUAGUUGGUGGGGUAAAGGCCUACCAAGGCGACGAUCUGUAGCGGGUCUGAGAGGAUGAUCCGCCACACUGGGACUGAGACACGGCCCAGACUCCUACGGGAGGCAGCAGUGGGGAAUAUUGGACAAUGGGCGAAAGCCUGAUCCAGCCAUGCCGCGUGUGUGAAGAAGGCCUUUUGGUUGUAAAGCACUUUAAGCGAGGAGGAGGCUACCGAGAUUAAUACUCUUGGAUAGUGGACGUUACUCGCAGAAUAAGCACCGGCUAACUCUGUGCCAGCAGCCGCGGUAAUACAGAGGGUGCGAGCGUUAAUCGGAUUUACUGGGCGUAAAGCGUGCGUAGGCGGCUUUUUAAGUCGGAUGUGAAAUCCCUGAGCUUAACUUAGGAAUUGCAUUCGAUACUGGGAAGCUAGAGUAUGGGAGAGGAUGGUAGAAUUCCAGGUGUAGCGGUGAAAUGCGUAGAGAUCUGGAGGAAUACCGAUGGCGAAGGCAGCCAUCUGGCCUAAUACUGACGCUGAGGUACGAAAGCAUGGGGAGCAAACAGGAUUAGAUACCCUGGUAGUCCAUGCCGUAAACGAUGUCUACUAGCCGUUGGGGCCUUUGAGGCUUUAGUGGCGCAGCUAACGCGAUAAGUAGACCGCCUGGGGAGUACGGUCGCAAGAGUAAAACUCAA
RNAcentral lists this ribosomal RNA (840 nucleotides) under uncultured bacterium. RNAcentral describes it as "bacterial SSU rRNA". It matches the Rfam family "Bacterial small subunit ribosomal RNA", at positions 69 to 904 of the family's 1533-position model. The record is from RNAcentral.